RNAcentral lists this ribosomal RNA (250 nucleotides) under uncultured prokaryote. RNAcentral describes it as "partial 16S ribosomal RNA". It matches the Rfam family "Bacterial small subunit ribosomal RNA", at positions 524 to 773 of the family's 1533-position model. The record is from RNAcentral.
UACAGAGACUACGAGCGUUACUCGGAUUCACUGGGCGUAAAGGGAGUGUAGGCGAGCAUGUAUGUCGGGUGUGAAAGCUCCGGGCUCAACUCGGAAAUGGCGCUCGAAACUAUGUGUCUAGAGGCUUGGAGAGGUUAGCGGAAUUCCAGGUGUAGCGGUGAAAUGCGUAGAUAUCUGGAGGAACACCGAAGGCGAAGGCAGCUAACUGGACAAGAGCUGACGCUGAGGCUCGAAAGCAUGGGGAGCAAAA